Molecule: long non-coding RNA, 3647 nt
Organism: Mobula hypostoma (lesser devil ray)
Lineage: Eukaryota; Metazoa; Chordata; Chondrichthyes; Myliobatiformes; Myliobatidae
Exons: 3
Source: RefSeq, a predicted model, not a curated record
AGUGGGCAGCGGGUGUCACCGCAAGGCGAGGGCGUAAGCGAGUGCAUCCCCAAUCAAUCACCUCAACUCCUCCGUGGUGGAACGGAACUGGAUCUCGCGUUCACCCGUGAAUUCCGCCCUUCCAGAUUCGUAUUGGUCGAUGUAUUUUCCGAAGGAAAUGGUGCAGAAUGGACAGGUGAUACUGCACUGAUCCGUAGAGUCCAUGGGAUGGUUGCUGGAAGCAAUGAAUGAUCUAGUCUUCUUACACUGUUAAAGAUAUUCACAGCAGAACAAAGAAAUACUAUACAAUCGAUGAAAAACUACAAAGGCUGACAAACAAUGACAAAAGACAAACUAUGCAAAUACAAAUAAACUAAAUAAUACUGAGAAUGAGUUGGAGAGUCUCUGAAAGUAAGUCAAUAGGUUGUGGUGAGUGAAGUUAUCCACACUGGCUCCUGUACCUCCUUCCUGAUGGCAGCAGUGAGAAGAGAGCAUGGUGGGGGCCCUUGAUGAUGGAUGCUGCUUUCUUGUGGCAGAGCUCCUUGUAGAUGAGCUCAAUGGUGGGGAGGGUUAUUCAUGUGAUGGGCUGUAGCCACUACUUUUUGUAGGCUUUUCCAUUUUUCAGUAUUGGUAUUCCUAUACCAGACAGUAAUGCAACCAGUCUCCACUCUGCACCUCUAAAAGUUUGUCAAAGUCUUAGAUGACAUAUUGAAUCUGUGCAAUCUUCUAAGAAAGUAGAGGUGCUGCUGCACCUUCUUUGUAAUUGUACUUACGAGCUGGUCGCAGGACAGAUUCUCUGAAAUGAAAACACCAAGGAAUUUGAAGUUACUUACCCUCUUCACCUCCAUUGGUCUAAUGAGGUCUGUGGAGAUUCGACACAACAUCAAAAACUUUGACAAACUUCUAUUGAUGUGCAGUGGAGAGCGCAUUGACUGGCUGCGUCACAGCCUGGUAUGGAAACACUAAUGUCUUUGAACGGAAAAUCCUACAAAAAGUAGAUUUGGCUCAGUUCAUAACAGGUAAAGCCCUCUCAACCAUUGAGCACAUCUACAUGAAAUGCACUUGUAUGAGCAUCCAUCAUCAGAGAUCCUCAGCACCCAGGCCAUACUCUUUUCUCGCAGCUGCCAUUGGGUAGAGGAUACACAAGCCUCAGGACCUGCAUCACAAGGUUCAAGGACAAAUAGUACUCUCCAACCAUCAGGCUCUUGAACAGAAGAGGGUAACUACAUCCACUUGCCCAUCCAUCCAUUGAGAUGUUUCCCCAACCAAUGAUCUCACUUUAAUCUUGUUAUUUCAUGCUCGUCAUUUAUUGCUAUUUAUUUGCGAUGCAUUUGCAGUUUGUUGUUUUCUGCUCUCUGCUUGAUCUUUCAUUGAUCCUGUUAUGGUUACUAUUCUAUAGAUUUGUUGAGUAUGCCCGCAGGAAAAUGAAUCUCAGGGUUGUAUAUGGUGACAUAUAUGUACUCUGAUAAUAACAUUUAAUUUGAGGACUGGCUUGUGGGCCUCUGGUUUCCCCCUCCUAUAGUGAACAAUUAACUCGUUGGUAGUAGAUGGAGGUGAGAUCUGGAAUAUCAGUGCAGGCAAGAAGGGCCUUUGAUUGAGGCUAUGUUUUUGUAUGUUGGCAGUUACAGUCAGUGUAAUAAUUGGAUAAUAAAGGAAAAUUAUCCCAUAUAAAAUUGAAGUUUGGGAUGCAUUCUACUGGAGGAAUUCUGCCAAUUACUUUGCAAACUCUGAAGGCAGCACUGCACAACAUUCCUAAACCGUUAGGUCAUGAACAUGGCCAGUUUGUAGGCUCGAGCUGCUCAGUGAAGGAACCUACUGAGUCAUCAAGUUAAACAAGCCAUAAAUAAGUAUGUUCAAACUAGGCCCAGCCAUUAACUCACAGUCAUACUGCAUGGAAACAGACUGUUCGACCCAUCUGAUCCAUGCUAAUUAAGAUUCCAAAAGUUGUCCCUUAGAUUCCUAUUAAAUAUCUCUUUUACCUUAAACCCGUGCCCUCUGGUUCUUGACUCCUUAGCUCUGAGCAAAAGACUGCACAUUCAUCCUGUGAUUAAAUUCCCCCAAAUUAAUAGCAAGUUUUUGUAUCUUGCCAAAAAAAUCAGUAAGAUCAAUGUCUCAGAUCUAUUGAGCACGUAUCAGGAGAACAACUGUUUAAUGCUAUUACAGCACCAGUGACCUGGGCUCAAUUCCACCGCUAUCUGAAAGGAGUUUCUAUGUUUUCCCAUAACUUCAUUGGUUUCCUCUGGGUGCUCCGGUUUCCUCCCACAUUCCAAAGACAUACGGGUUACUGGGUUAAUUGGUUAUAUGAGUGUAAUUGUGCAACGUGGGCUCGUUGAGCCAGAAGGGCCUGUUACUAUGCUGUCUCUCUAAAUAAAUAAACCACUUACUUUUCUAACCUGAAUCAUUUGUACUCUGCAAGGCAUCAAUUCUUCAACACUAAGAAACAAAAACAGACUUGAGACCUGAAGAUGUCCAAAAGUGUUCAGCAAACCAAUCAAGCACUUCUGAAAUGUAUUUGCUUCAGUAAUGUAGGAAAAAUGGCAGCCAACUGUCAGGCAGCAAGACCCAACAACAGCAAUGUAAAAAUAACCAGAUAAUCUAUUAUAACAAUGUUGAUUAAGGGACAUAUUUUGGUUAGGACACAAAGGAAAAUUCCAUUGCUCCUUGAAAUAACUUCCACGGGCUCUUUUAUGUCCACUUUGGUUUAUUGUUUCAUUCAAAAGGUGGCACCUCUUACAGCACGGCCCAUUCUCAACCGUACACUCUGAACUGAGGAAGACACAAAUCAGAACCAUGAGCAAAUCCCUCAGACUCUUCAGUCUGUUGUGCCAUUCAGCAAGAUCAUGGGUGAUUUAGUUGUAACCACAACUCCACAGUUUCAUCUUUCAGCCCCUUGCUUACCAAGGAAGGUUUUGUUUAAUUCAGAAACCAUUUUUAAAACACGACAAUAUCUCUGGCAGGUUAAUGAGAAUUACCACCGUCUGGGCUCCCUCCUCACUGCUACCAUCGGACAGGAUAUACAGGACUCUUGGAUCCCAUACCACAAGGUUUGGGAGCAGUUGUUGCCCUGCAACCAUCAGCCGUUUGAACCAGCAUGGAUAACUUCACCCAACUCAACCCUGAAAUGAUUCUACAACCUACAGACUCACUUACUCACUUUCAAGGACUCUACAACUCAUGUUCUCAGUGUUUUUUUUUAAAUUGCAUAAUUUGUCGUCUUUUGCAUAUUGUUUUUGUCAGUCUUCGUUUAUGUAUAGUUUUUCAUAAAUUCUACUGAAUUUCUUUAUUUUCCUGUAAAUCCCAGCAAGGAAUGAACCUCAAGAUAGUUUAUUGUGACAUAUACAUACUUUGAUAAUAAAUUUACUUUGACUUUGAAUUUUGAUAGUAGAAUAAAAAGAAAUAACAAUCUUAUACAGUAUUUCCAUUGUACCUUUCACAACUUUAGUGCUUUAUAGUCAUUAUGUUAUUUUUUGGAUUAUUUGUUGUAAAAAGGAAAAACAAAAAUCAUUACAUCAUUAUUAUUCAGUUUCAGGAAAAGGAUUGAAAAGAUGAGAAGGAAAAAAAAGCAUUUAUUCAUAAAACUUAAAUAAACACAUUUUAUGGCAAAAUAACAGUAGGGAAUACACGGCCUCAAAACCUGCACUGGAGUAAAAAUACAAAUGAACACAUAU